This 182-nucleotide unclassified non-coding RNA is filed under the name soil metagenome. RNAcentral's name for it is "partial contains 5.8S ribosomal RNA, internal transcribed spacer 2, and large subunit ribosomal RNA". The record is from RNAcentral.
AACGCACGAGACCUGCGGACCUGCGGAGGGAUCAUUACCGAAUGGUCUCCUUGGCCUUCAAACCCUCAAACCCGUGGAAGAGAAAAUGUGCUUCGGCGCCUUCGGGCGCCGCCCUCAAUGCAUAUGCCAGUCUUGUGUCUGAAAUUAAAAAUGAAGAUUAAAACUUUUAGCAAUGGAUCUCU